This 399-nucleotide ribosomal RNA is filed under the name uncultured soil bacterium. RNAcentral's name for it is "bacterial SSU rRNA". It matches the Rfam family "Bacterial small subunit ribosomal RNA", at positions 26 to 427 of the family's 1533-position model. The record is from RNAcentral.
AGAUUGAACGCUGGCGGCAUGCCUUACACAUGCAAGUCGAACGGCAGCACGGGGGCAACCCUGGUGGCGAGUGGCGAACGGGUGAGUAACAUAUCGGAACGUGCCCUGGAGUGGGGGAUAACUAGUCGAAAGAUUAGCUAAUACCGCAUACGAUCUACGGAUGAAAGUGGGGGAUCGCAAGACCUCAUGCUCGUGGAGCGGCCGAUAUCUGAUUAGCUAGUUGGUGGGGUAAAGGCCUACCAAGGCAUCGAUCAGUAGCUGGUCUGAGAGGACGACCAGCCACACUGGGACUGAGACACGGCCCAGACUCCUACGGGAGGCAGCAGUGGGGAAUUUUGGACAAUGGGCGCAAGCCUGAUCCAGCAAUGCCGCGUGAGUGAAGAAGGCCUGGUGUAAGUA